AUGAACGCUGGCGGCGUGCCUCAUCCCUGCCAGUCGAGCGAACGGACGAGAAGCUUGCUUCUCUGAUGUUAGCGGCGGACGGGUGAGUAACACGUGGAUAACCUACCUAUAAGACUGGGAUAACUUCGGGAAACCGUAGCUAAUACCGGAUAAUAUUUUGAACCGCAUGGUUCAAAAGUGAAAGACGGUCUUGCUGUCACUUAUAGAUGGAUCCGCGCUGCAUUAGCUAGUUGGUAAGGUAACGGCUUACCAAGGCAACGAUGCAUAGCCGACCUGAGAGGGUGAUCGGCCACACUGGAACUGAGACACGGUCCAGACUCCUACGGGAGGCAGCAGUAGGGAAUCUUCCGCAAUGGGCGAAAGCCUGACGGAGCAACGCCGCGUGAGUGAUGAAGGUCUUCGGAUCGUAAAACUCUGUUAUUAGGGAAGAACAUAUGUGUAAGUAACUGUGCACAUCUUGACGGUACCUAAUCAGAAAGCCACGGCUAACUACGUG
This 496-nucleotide ribosomal RNA is filed under the name uncultured bacterium. RNAcentral describes it as "partial 16S ribosomal RNA". It matches the Rfam family "Bacterial small subunit ribosomal RNA", at positions 29 to 507 of the family's 1533-position model. The record is from RNAcentral.